This 1341-nucleotide ribosomal RNA is filed under the name uncultured bacterium. RNAcentral's name for it is "partial 16S ribosomal RNA". It matches the Rfam family "Bacterial small subunit ribosomal RNA", at positions 28 to 1381 of the family's 1533-position model. The record is from RNAcentral.
GACGAACGCUGGCGGCGUGCUUAACACAUGCAAGUCGAACGGUAAGGCUCCAGCUUGCUGGGGUACACGAGUGGCGAACGGGUGAGUAACACGUGGGUGACCUGCCCUGCACUUCGGGAUAAGCCUGGGAAACUGGGUCUAAUACCGGAUAGGACCGCACCGUGAGGGUGUGGUGGAAAGUUUUUUCGGUGUGGGAUGGGCCCGCGGCCUAUCAGCUUGUUGGUGGGGUAAUGGCCUACCAAGGCGGCGACGGGUAGCCGGCCUGAGAGGGUGGACGGCCACAUUGGGACUGAGACACGGCCCAGACUCCUACGGGAGGCAGCAGUGGGGAAUAUUGCACAAUGGGCGGAAGCCUGAUGCAGCGACGCCGCGUGGGGGAUGACGGCCUUCGGGUUGUAAACUCCUUUCACCAUCGACGAAGGGUUUCUGACGGUAGAUGGAGAAGAAGCACCGGCUAACUACGUGCCAGCAGCCGCGGUAAUACGUAGGGUGCGAGCGUUGUCCGGAAUUACUGGGCGUAAAGAGCUCGUAGGUGGUUUGUCGCGUCGUCUGUGAAAUUCCGGGGCUUAACUCCGGGCGUGCAGGCGAUACGGGCAUAACUUGAGUACUGUAGGGGAGACUGGAAUUCCUGGUGUAGCGGUGAAAUGCGCAGAUAUCAGGAGGAACACCGGUGGCGAAGGCGGGUCUCUGGGCAGUAACUGACGCUGAGGAGCGAAAGCAUGGGGAGCGAACAGGAUUAGAUACCCUGGUAGUCCAUGCCGUAAACGGUGGGCGCUAGGUGUGGGUUUCCUUCCACGGGAUCCGUGCCGUAGCUAACGCAUUAAGCGCCCCGCCUGGGGAGUACGGCCGCAAGGCUAAAACUCAAAGGAAUUGACGGGGGCCCGCACAAGCGGCGGAGCAUGUGGAUUAAUUCGAUGCAACGCGAAGAACCUUACCUGGGCUUGACAUAUACAGGAUCGCGCCAGAGAUGGUGUUUCCCUUGUGGCUUGUAUACAGGUGGUGCAUGGUUGUCGUCAGCUCGUGUCGUGAGAUGUUGGGUUAAGUCCCGCGACGAGCGCAACCCUUGUCUUAUGUUGCCAGCACGUUGUGGUGGGGACUCGUAAGAAACUGCCGGGGUUAACUCGGAGGAAGGUGGGGAUGACGUCAAAUCAUCAUGCCCCUUAUGUCCAGGGCUUCACACAUGCUACAAUGGUCGGUACAGUGGGUUGCCAGUCCGUGAGGGCGGGCUAAUCCCGCAAAGCCGGUCUCAGUUCGGAUCGGGGUCUGCAACUCGACCCCGUGAAGUCGGAGUCGCUAGUAAUCGCAGAUCAGCAACGCUGCGGUGAAUACGUUCCCGGGCCU